This 301-nucleotide ribosomal RNA is filed under the name uncultured bacterium. RNAcentral describes it as "partial 16S ribosomal RNA". It matches the Rfam family "Bacterial small subunit ribosomal RNA", at positions 509 to 807 of the family's 1533-position model. The record is from RNAcentral.
CAGUCGCCACGGUAAUACGGAGGGUGCAAGCGUUAAUCGGAAUUACUGGGCGUAAAGGGAGCGUAGGCGGACAUUUAAGUCAGGGGUGAAAUCCCAGAGCUCAACUCUGGAACUGCCUUUGAUACUGGGUGUCUUGAGUGUGAUAGAGGUAUGUGGAACUCCGAGUGUAGAGGUGAAAUUCGUAGAUAUUCGGAAGAACACCAGUGGCGAAGGCGACAUACUGGAUCAUUACUGACGCUGAGGCUCGAAAGCGUGGGGAGCAAACAGGAUUAGAUACCCCCGUAGUCCCUGUCUCUUAUAC